Molecule: ribosomal RNA, 460 nt
Filed under: uncultured bacterium
Lineage: Bacteria
Description: partial 16S ribosomal RNA
Rfam family: Bacterial small subunit ribosomal RNA
Source: RNAcentral
CCUACGGGUGGCAGCAGUGAGGAAUAUUGGUCAAUGGGCGGGAGCCUGAACCAGCCAAGCCGCGUGAGGGAAGAAGGUACAGCGUAUCGUAACCCUCUUUUGUCAGGGAACAAAGGUGGGGACUAGUCCCCGGAUGAGUGUACCUGAAGAAAAAGCAUCGGCUAACUCCGUGCCAGCAGCCGCGGUAAUGCGGAGGAUGCGAGCGUUAUCCGGAUUUUUUGGGUUUAAAGGGAGAGUAGGUGGAUUGUUAAGUCAGUUGUGAAAGUUUGCGGCUCAACCGUAAAAUUGCAGUUGAAACUGGCAGUCUUGAGUACAGUAGAGGUGGGCGGAAUUCGUGGUGUAGCGGUGAAAUGCUUAGAUAUCACGAAGAACUCCGAUUGCGAAGGCAGCUCACUGGACUGCAACUGACACUGAGGCUCGAAAGUGUGGGUAUCAAACAGGAUUAGAUACCCCAGUAGUC